GAUGAACGCUGGCGGCGUGCCUAACACAUGCAAGUCGAACGGGAGGCUUUUUCGGAAAGCCGAGAGUGGCGCACGGGUGAGUAACACGUAGCUUACCUGCCCCGAAGAGUGGGAUAACGCAUCGAAAGGUGUGCUAAUACCACAUAAGCUCACGAACUCCAGAGGUUCGUGAGAAAAGCUUUGGCGCUUUGGGAUGGGGCUGCGGCCCAUCAGCUAGUUGGUGAGGUAAUGGCUCACCAAGGCGACGACGGGUAGGGGGCCUGAGAGGGUGACCCCCCACACUGGGACGUGAGACACGGCCCACGACUCCUACGGGAGGGCAG
This 323-nucleotide ribosomal RNA is filed under the name uncultured Chloroflexota bacterium. Its description in RNAcentral is "bacterial SSU rRNA". It matches the Rfam family "Bacterial small subunit ribosomal RNA", at positions 28 to 354 of the family's 1533-position model. Lineage: Bacteria; Bacillati; Chloroflexota. The record is from RNAcentral.